RNAcentral lists this ribosomal RNA (433 nucleotides) under uncultured bacterium. Its description in RNAcentral is "partial 16S ribosomal RNA". It matches the Rfam family "Bacterial small subunit ribosomal RNA", at positions 29 to 507 of the family's 1533-position model. The record is from RNAcentral.
AAUGAACGCUGGCGGCAUGCCUAACACAUGCAAGUCGAACGAAGGCUUCGGCCUUAGUGGCGCACGGGUACGUAACGCGUGGUAAUCUGCCCCUUGGUUCCGUAUCCCAGUUAGAAAUAACUGCUAAUACCGGAGGGUCUCAUAAGGCCAAAGAUUUAUCGCCGCGUGUUGUGCCCUCGUAGGAUUAGCUAGUUGGUGUGGUAAGAGCGCACCAAGGCGAGGAUCCUUAGCUGGUCUGAGAGGAUGAUCAGCAACACUGGAACUGAGACACGGCUCAGACUGGUACGGGAGGCAGCAGUGGGGAAUAUUGGACAAUGGGCGAAAGCCUGAUAAAGCAGUGUCGGGUGAGUGAUGAAGGGCUUAGGGUUGUAAAGCUCUCUGACCCGGGAUGAUAAUGACAGUACCGGGAGAAUAAGCUCCGGCUAACUACGUG